Molecule: ribosomal RNA, 253 nt
Filed under: uncultured bacterium
Lineage: Bacteria
Description: partial 16S ribosomal RNA
Rfam family: Bacterial small subunit ribosomal RNA
Source: RNAcentral
UACGAAGGGGGCUAGCGUUGCUCGGAAUCACUGGGCGUAAAGCGCACGUAGGCGGCUUUUUAAGUCAGGGGUGAAAUCCUGGAGCUCAACUCCAGAACUGCCUUUGAUACUGAGAAGCUUGAGUUCGGGAGAGGUGAGUGGAACUGCGAGUGUAGAGGUGAAAUGCGUAGAUAUCCGGAGGAACACCGGUGGCGAAGGCGGCUUCCUGGACCGACACUGACGCUGAGGCGCGAAAGCCAGGGGAGCAAACGGG